UUGAAAGAACCUAGAUCUCAUCUCUCUACGGUCAAAAGUAACCUGGAACCCUUGAUUGUGAGACAAUGUGACCAUCGGUUUCUAAGGUUUUUGUAUUGAUUCUUGAAGGAGUCAUCGGAACUGGCGGCACUUGAAGCAUCCAAAGGAUUCGAGAGACGAUAAUGUUCCCUGUUUCAAAUCUUUUUGAGGUGCUCAGUUUUUUCUGUCGACAAGGUGGUUGUGGCGUUUGAUUUAUAGGGUUAGGGUUUUCCAGAAUUGGGCUGACGGGAGAUCCGGGCACUCCAAAUAAGUGAGACAGGCAAGAUGUCAUGAAGGAACCAACUUCGGGCGUACUACUGGUGGCCCGUUUAUUGCUACAAGCUAUGACUAUC
Molecule: long non-coding RNA, 371 nt
Filed under: Helianthus annuus (common sunflower)
Lineage: Eukaryota; Viridiplantae; Streptophyta; Magnoliopsida; Asterales; Asteraceae
Description: sRNA HanXRQr2_Chr15g0695581
Source: RNAcentral